GAUGAACGCUAGCGGGAGGCCUAACACAUGCAAGUCGAGGGGCAGCAGGGUGUAGCAAUACAUCGCUGGCGACCGGCGCACGGGUGCGUAACACGUAUGCAACCUACCUUUAACUGGGGAAUAGCCCUCCGAAAGGAGGAUUAACACCGCAUAACAUCACGAGACGGCAUCGCCUUGUGAUCAAACCUCCGGGGGUUAAAAUGGGCAUGCGUCCGAUUAGCUAGUUGGCGGGGUAACGGCCCACCAAGGCGACGAUCGGUAGGGGGUCUGAGAGGAUGAUCCCCCACACUGGUACUGAGACACGGACCAGACUCCUACGGGAGGCAGCAGUAAGGAAUAUUGGACAAUGGUCGCAAGACUGAUCCAGCCAUGCCGCGUGCAGGAUGAACGAUCUAUGAUCUGUAAACUGCUUUUGUUCGGGAAUAAACCCCUUCACGUGUGGAGGGCUGAAUGUACCGAAAGAAUAAGGGUCGGCUAACUUCGUGCCAGCAGCCG
RNAcentral lists this ribosomal RNA (495 nucleotides) under uncultured bacterium. RNAcentral describes it as "bacterial SSU rRNA". It matches the Rfam family "Bacterial small subunit ribosomal RNA", at positions 28 to 517 of the family's 1533-position model. The record is from RNAcentral.